RNAcentral lists this ribosomal RNA (492 nucleotides) under uncultured bacterium. RNAcentral's name for it is "bacterial SSU rRNA". It matches the Rfam family "Bacterial small subunit ribosomal RNA", at positions 28 to 526 of the family's 1533-position model. The record is from RNAcentral.
AAUGAACGUUGGCGGCGUGGAUUAGGCAUGCAAGUCGAACGGGUCCGGCCUUCGGGCCGGGCCAGUGGCGCAAGGGUGAGUAAGGCGACGGUAACCAACCCCAGGGUUGGGUAUAGCCGCGGGAAACUGCGGGUAAUCCCCAGCGACGUGCCGGCCCGGCAUCGGGCGGGCACCAAAGCUCUGGCGCCGUGGGACGGGCCGUCGUGGUAUUAGCUAGUUGGCGGGGUAACGGCCCACCAAGGCUGUGAUGCCUACCGGGCGUGCGAGCGUGGCCCGGCACACUGGGACUGAGACACUGCCCAGACUCCUACGGGAGGCUGCAGUCGAGAAUCUUCGGCAAUGGGCGCAAGCCUGACCGAGCGACGCCGCGUGGAGGACGAAGGCCUUCGGGUUGUAAACUCCUGUCGAGGGGGAGGAAGGCCGCUGCAAGGCGGAUUGACCGAUCCCUGGAGGAAGCACGGGCUAAGUUCGUGCCAGCAGCCGCAGUAACAC